Molecule: ribosomal RNA, 200 nt
Filed under: uncultured bacterium
Lineage: Bacteria
Description: partial 16S ribosomal RNA
Rfam family: Bacterial small subunit ribosomal RNA
Source: RNAcentral
AGAGUUUGAUCCUGGCUCAGGACGAACGCUGGCGGCGUGCUUAACACAUGCAAGUCACGGGGGCCCGCAAGGGUAACCGGCGAACGGGUGCGUAACACGUGAGCAACCUGCCGAUCUGAGGGGGAUAGCCGGCCCAACGGCCGGGUAAUACCGCAUACGCUCAGCGAGGGGAGUCCCUUGUUGAGGAAACCUCCGGGGCA